This 253-nucleotide ribosomal RNA is filed under the name uncultured bacterium. Its description in RNAcentral is "partial 16S ribosomal RNA". It matches the Rfam family "Bacterial small subunit ribosomal RNA", at positions 524 to 776 of the family's 1533-position model. The record is from RNAcentral.
UACGAAGGGUGCUAGCGUUGCUCGGAAUCACUGGGCGUAAAGCGCGCGUAGGCGGAUUUUUAAGUCAGGGGUGAAAUCCCGAGGCUCAACCUCGGAACUGCCUUUGAUACUGGAGAUCUUGAGUCCGGAAGAGGUAAGUGGAACUGCGAGUGUAGAGGUGAAAUUCGUAGAUAUUCGCAAGAACACCAGUGGCGAAGGCGGCUUACUGGUCCGGAACUGACGCUGAGGUGCGAAAGCGUGGGGAGCAAACAGG